GAAUUUUGGACAAUGGGGGCAACCCUGAUCCAGCCAUGCCGCGUGUGUGAAGAAGGCCUUCGGGUUGUAAAGCACUUUCAGCGAGGAGGAAGGGUGUUGUGUUAAUAGCACAGCAUUUUGACGGUACUCGCAGAAGAAGACCCGGCUACCUACGUGCCAGCAGCCGCGGUAAUACGUAGGGUGCAGGCGUUAAUCGGAAUUACUGGGAGUAAAGCGUGCGCAGGCGGCUUCCUAAGUCAGAUGUGAAAUCCCCGGGCUCAACCUGGGAACUGCGUUUGAAACUGGGAGGCGCGAGUGCGGCAGAGGGGGGUGGAAUUCCACGUGUAGCAGUGAAAUGCGUAGAUAUGUGGAGGAACACCGAUGGCGAAGGCAGCCCCCUGGGCCAGCACUGACGCUCAUGCACGAAAGCGUGGGGAGCAAACAG
This 424-nucleotide ribosomal RNA is filed under the name uncultured bacterium. RNAcentral's name for it is "partial 16S ribosomal RNA". It matches the Rfam family "Bacterial small subunit ribosomal RNA", at positions 359 to 775 of the family's 1533-position model. The record is from RNAcentral.